UCGCUAGAAGCUGCUGUCAAGCUCGGCUGAGGUUUGGUGAGUCGGAUCAUGCCAUCAAGUGUUAUGCCCUUUGCUUGUUUUGAGGGUAGUAUAGCUGCAAACAGCCUGCAUAGGAGAUGUGGCAUUUAUGCCAUAAUGAUGCUUUCUGAUAUGCCCCUGAUCUUGAGGUUGUUUCCACCCUCACCUAUCUUCCUGCGCUGCCAGUUAGUGGGUUAGGAGAACUUGGGCUGUGGCAAGGUUUUGAACUUGUUUCUGUAGCUCUGUUAUCUGCAUGCUAUGGGUGUCUGUGGUGUGUUCCAAGUGAAUUCCUGAGCUCUGCUAGAAGACUGGUAAGUAUAGCUGUUGUGACAGGAGGAGAGGUGACCUCUUUUAGGGGGGAAGGCUUGGAUGGACCUUUGUAGUCCAGAUCAUCCAUACUGUGGAGGAGUGAGUCGCCCGAGUAACCUGAAAAGUCAUCGAGGACCGCCGCCAUAUUGGGCCUGGUUUCCCCAAGAGGCCUCAGCAGUAAGUCCCCGAUAUCGGCGGUAAACCUGGGAUGAUUGGGUCUUUAUUAUUUUUUUAUUUAUUCUUUCUCCCCAUCUUGUAGUACAUUCCUAUGGGCUUUGUAACAGGUUGGGGUGUCCCUUGACCAGCCAUUAUUUGUGCUUUUUCAGCUCGUAUGCACAGAGCUCCGCGUGCUUGGACUGCUUGUGUCUGGAACUUGCUCCGCCAACAGUAAUCCAAUUUUUUUAAACACAUUUUUUCAAUAUAACACAAGGUCACAAUAGAAAACAUGGAUAAUGAAAAAUAGAUCAAUGUAGGCAUAAAACUACACAGGUCACAUAAACCAACAGAAAAUACACAGUAUAUUUACUGGAAAAUGGGAGUUCAGUAUAAGUGGUAAUAUGAGUUCCACAGCUCAGGAGGAGAUUAAAAAAGGAAUUACAAGAAAAGGUAGUGGGGAGAAGAUGAGUGCUAUGUGUUCUGCAACUUGAAAUAUCUUUAGUUAAAAGUGAUUUAGCGAUAGCUGUUUCCACACUUUGUGUGCACCCCAAUUAAAAAACAACACACCUAAUACGCCAUUUGUAAUAGUGAAGUGGGGUGCUGUAACAUUAAAAAUAACAUCCUAAGGUGCAUAAACUUAUCUCUUAACUUGUAUCACAUUAUGGUCAAUAAUUCCAAACUCAAAACGAAAAAAAAUAAAAAAAAAUACAUAACUCAAUAUGAUAUGACAAUAUGACAAUAACAUUCCCAAAUUGAAAUAGGUAUAUUGCACACUUAAAUAAACAUGAGCUACUAAGCAAUCCUCACUAUGAUCGCAUCUGGGCCACAAAAGCCAGUCACCCCAUCAAUGAAAGGUAUGUUUCACCUGUUUAAAUAUCCUCUUCACAAUGCCUCUCAAAAAAACAUUAUAGCGUAAAGCUGUUGUAAUACUACCUUAAAACAAUUACAAAUGGAUACACUCACCUGUGAUGGAUGGAGUGUUUAGGCUUAGUCCACAUGAGUGUAUCUAUUCAUUAUUCCUUAAAGGUUUUAUUACAAUAGUAUGACACUAUGGUAUUUCCUUUGGUUUUUUUAUGAGCCGUUGAGGAGACUAGCACGGUGAGGUAAAAAAGGUAAGUCAUACUCACUUUUCAAACCUACACUCCUAAAUAAGUAGUGGGACACUAUAGCGUCCAGAAUAUAUGUUUGUAUUCCUUUAGUGUUCCUUAGUACAAGUAUAGUACUACUUUAGACUAGAAUUGCCCCAUCUGUGCCUUGAGAAAUAUGAUCCACACUCUCUCAAUACUCUGCUCAUCUUGUGAUUUCAGUAAGGCUUUCAUUUAAAGAAAAGUCAUAAUUCUCAUUUACUAUGUAUACUUACUUCCUGUAUUCACAUUGUGUUUUGUCAAAGGCAUGCCAGUGUUCUAUCAUGAUGCAGUGUCCAUCCAUUGCCCUUCUUUGAUACUUGGCACAGCAUUAAUAUCUCAAUUACAUCGUACAACUUAACAUGUUUAACAGGGUGAAGCUGCCUCUUAAUAACUUCUGGGGACUACCAUUCCCCUUAAUUUAUUUAAACCAAUUUUACUAUCACUUUUUAUUAUUUUGAAUUUGGAUUUGAAAACUUCAGAAUUUUUGUGUCAGGCAGAUGCACAACAAACAACGGAACAUAAAACAUGUCAUAUCUUGGUUAAAAAUAAUGAUCAAUUAUAUGUCUCGUAUAUAGAACUAAGAACAAAC
Molecule: long non-coding RNA, 2199 nt
Filed under: Pelobates cultripes (western spadefoot toad)
Lineage: Eukaryota; Metazoa; Chordata; Amphibia; Anura; Pelobatidae
Source: RNAcentral